GGAGGGUUCGCCUAGUGGCCGAUGGCGGCGGUCUUGAAAACCGCUGUGGGUGCAAGCUCACCGUGGGUUCGAAUCCCACACCCUCCG
This 87-nucleotide transfer RNA is filed under the name Actinomycetota bacterium. Its description in RNAcentral is "tRNA-Ser". It matches the Rfam family "tRNA". Rfam says of the family: Transfer RNA (tRNA) molecules are approximately 80 nucleotides in length. The record is from RNAcentral. Lineage: Bacteria; Bacillati; Actinomycetota.